Molecule: ribosomal RNA, 253 nt
Filed under: uncultured bacterium
Lineage: Bacteria
Description: partial 16S ribosomal RNA
Rfam family: Bacterial small subunit ribosomal RNA
Source: RNAcentral
GACAGAGGGGGCAAGCGUUGCUCGGAAUUACUGGGCGUAAAGGGCGCGUAGGCGGGAUGGCAAGUCGGUCGUGAAAUCCUUCGGCUCAACCGAAGAACGUCGAUCGAUACUGCUGUUCUUGAGGGUUGCAGAGGAGACUGGAAUUCCCGGUGUAGCGGUGAAAUGUGUAGAGAUCGGGAGGAACACCGGUGGCGAAGGCGGGUCUCUGGACAGUUACUGACGCUGAGGCACGAAGGCCAGGGGAGCAAACGGG